Molecule: ribosomal RNA, 469 nt
Filed under: uncultured bacterium
Lineage: Bacteria
Description: partial 16S ribosomal RNA
Rfam family: Bacterial small subunit ribosomal RNA
Source: RNAcentral
GGACGAACGCUGGCGGCGUGCUUACCACAUGCAAGUCGAACGGAAAGGCCCUGCUUUUGUGGGGUGCUCGAGUGGCGAACGGGUGAGUAACACGUGAGUAACCUGCCCUUGACUUUGGGAUAACUUCAGGAAACUGGGGCUAAUACCGGAUAGGAGCUCCUGCUGCAUGGUGGGGGUUGGAAAGUUUCGGCGGUUGGGGAUGGACUCGCGGCUUAUCAGCUUGUUGGUGGGGUAGUGGCUUACCAAGGCUUUGACGGGUAGCCGGCCUGAGAGGGUGACCGGCCACAUUGGGACUGAGAUACGGCCCAGACUCCUACGGGAGGCAGCAGUGGGGAAUAUUGCACAAUGGGCGGAAGCCUGAUGCAGCAACUCCGCGUGCGGGAUGACGGCCUUCGGGUUGUAAACCGCUUUCGCCUGUGACGAAGCGUGAGUGACGGUAAUGGGUAAAGAAGCACCGGCUAACUACGUG